Molecule: transfer RNA, 644 nt
Filed under: uncultured Prochlorococcus sp.
Lineage: Bacteria; Bacillati; Cyanobacteriota; Cyanophyceae; Synechococcales; Prochlorococcaceae
Description: partial 16S-23S ribosomal RNA intergenic spacer
Rfam family: tRNA (bases 239-310)
Source: RNAcentral
CGUGAUGUUCGAGUACUUAAUAGUAGGCAUGAUCUGUCACGUAGGUCGAUCGGUACCUUUGAUUGAUACUUAAAUAGAAGCUGAUUAAAUCGGUCUAGAUAUGAGUGUUGAUUUCAGCUCCUAAACUGUCUAGGUCACACCAAUCAAGGGUACUCUGGGCAUUAGCUCAGGUGGUUAGAGCGCACCCCUGAUAAGGGUGAGGUCCCUGGUUCAAGUCCAGGAUGGCCCAUUCGUUGUUGGGGGUUUAGCUCAGUUGGUAGAGCGCUGCUUUGCAAGCAGGAUGUCAGCGGUUCGAGUCCGCUAACCUCCACUGAUCUACCUCCUGUGAAUAAGCAAUGGAGGAAGUCUUGUUGAUGUGAUUUAGAUUAUUUUGCUGACUAGACCCUAGCUUCCUAUCAUCCAAAAUUUCAAAUGCUUUUUGUGAAUUUUGUUGAUAAGACGCUGGGCUCACUGUGGUUCACAAGAACUACAGAGAUGUUUGGCAGAACCUUGACAACUGCAUAGGUGAGUCUGGAAAGAAUAAAGCAUCUCAUGGAUGCAUUAUUCUUCUAAAUUAGUUUAGGUUGGCUGUGAACUCAAUUAACCUGAAUUGAUAUAUUAGAAUAGUGCUUAAUUCUUGAGUCAAGAGCUGAGACUCUAUAGCU